UACACGAUAGAUCAUGAUGCCUGGAAUGGCUUAUGAUCAAAAUGAUUUAUCGCCGUAGGAUGGGACUGCGGCCUAUCAGCUUGUUGGUGAGGUAAUGGCCCACCAAGGCUAUAACAGGUACGGGCUCUGAGAGGAGAAGCCCGGAGAUGGGUACUGAGACACGGACCCAGGCCCUAUGGGGCGCAGCAGGCGAGAAACCUUAGCAAUGUGCGAAAGCACGACUAGGUUAAUCCGAGUGAUUUCUGCUGAAGAAAUCUUUUGUCAGUUUUAAACAUACCGAUGAAUAAGGGGUGGGCAAGUCUGGUGUCAGCCGCCGCGGUAAUACCAGCACCUCGAGUGGUCAGGAGGUUUAUUGGGCCUAAAGCAUCCGUAGCCGGCUAUGCAAGUCUCCGGUUAAAUCCAGCUGCCUAACAGAUGGGCUGCCGGAGAUACUACACAGCUAGGGAGCGGGAGAGGUAGACGGUAUUCGGUGGGUAGGGGUAAAAUCCUCUGAUCCAUUGAGGACCACCAGUGGCGAAGGCGGUCUACCAGAACGCGUUCGACGGUGAGGGAUGAAAGCUGGGGGAGCAAACCGGAUUAGAUACCCGGGUAGUCCCAGCUGUAAACGAUGCAAACUCGGUGAUGCGUUGGCUUAUGGCCAACGCAGUGCCGCAGGGAAGCCGUUAAGUUUGCCGCCUGGGAAGUACGGACGCAAGUCUGAAACUUAAAGGAAUUGGCGGGGGAGCACCACAAGGGGUGAAGCCUGCGGUUCAAUUGAUC
Molecule: ribosomal RNA, 759 nt
Filed under: uncultured bacterium
Lineage: Bacteria
Description: bacterial SSU rRNA
Rfam family: Archaeal small subunit ribosomal RNA
Source: RNAcentral